UUUCAUCCUUGUUUCUCUAUCUUUUCCGUCGAACUCCCCCACCUAUUAGACAUCACUACCACCAGUUCUGCUACCACCACAACCUCCUCUCUUUUCUGCCUCAUCUUAGCCACCAACUCCGCCACCACCACCAUCUCCGCCACCAUCUUCAAUUCUAACAUGUUAGUAGUAACCUAAUUUCAUUUGAAAGAGAGAGUUUUCGUCGGAUUAAUCGAGAGAGGAAUAAAUUCUCACUGGAAACUAGUCGAAGAAUCAACUGAGAUCGAGCAAAAAUCAUUAUCAUCGGCAGUUCAUCAUUAAGGUUCAGGAGAGAUCUCAUCUUGGGAUUUGAUUUCUGUCGCAUGUGUUAAGUGGUACUAAUCUUGUUGAAUGGUGAAGUAGAAUUAGAGUCGCGUGCGCUGUUGGUGGUGCAAUUGGCAUUAGUGGCGACAUAUGAGUUGGAAGUGAUGCUGGUGUGAUAGAAGGAUUAGGUUUGGAGCAUAGAUGCUUCUGUGCUGGUGGUGGAAUUGGUGCACUUGGUAGUGGUGAACGAGACGUGGUGGCGGUGAAAAUUAAUUUGAUCUCGGUGAUGAGAAAGCAAAUAUUGAGCUUGAUGGUGGAAAAUGGAGGCUGGAAUUUUUAACAAGCAGGAUGCACCGUUGUAGUGCAUUGCACGAAGGAAAAAGCUUGAUCCUAGUCUUGAAGCACGUGUACCAGCUGUAAUCUUGAGCAAAUCACAGUUUUGUCUGUGACUUACGUAAUUGUUUCUAUUCUUGUUUGCAAGGGUCAAAGGAAGGAUGGGGUUGCUUGUACCGCAGGCACAGAUAAACUAUUAUGAACUACUAUGUGUACUUGGACUGUCAUCAACUAUGGUUGCAUUAGUUAAUGCUGUUGUUGGCAAUAUUGGAUUACAGGUGCGGUCUCCGGGAGCUAGGGAUACAAAUAUUGGGCUUACACACUGUUGUUCCAUUGGAUCACCAGAUCCGCAGAGUUGACACCAUCGGUGGUGGUGGUGUGGAUUGGCAAUGGUGGUGGCGACGGUGGAUUGGUGGUGGUGGUGGCGGCGGUGGAGUGGUGGUGGUGGUGGAGUGGUGGUGGCGGUGGAGUGGUGGUGGAAUGGUAGAUGAAUGUCGGUGGUGGUAGUAGAUAUAUGGUGGUGGUGGUGGUAUCGAUGGUGGUGGUGAAGUGGUAGAGAAAGUAAUUUGUUGUAUUUUAUAAUAAUUAAAUAUAUUAUAUGAGUGAAAGUGUUAAGGUAUUUAUUUGUAAAUGGAUAAGGUUUUUAAAGAAUCCUAUUAUUGGGGCUUGAAACUCAAAGGAUUUUGGGGGCUUUAUUGGGUCAUGAAAUAACAAAUCCAAUAACCCCUGUUCUAUUAUUUUGUUAAUGUCUAAUAUACCCUCGAUUGAAUUAGUGUUAAUUAUGGAAAUUAACUAAAUUAAUUAUGAUUAG
This is a long non-coding RNA of Papaver somniferum (opium poppy), 1426 nucleotides long. RefSeq lists it as uncharacterized. The transcript is spliced from 8 exons. NCBI's taxonomy places the organism in Eukaryota, Viridiplantae, Streptophyta, Magnoliopsida, Ranunculales, Papaveraceae. The record is from RefSeq and is a predicted model, not a curated record.